This 659-nucleotide ribosomal RNA is filed under the name uncultured fungus. RNAcentral's name for it is "eukaryotic LSU rRNA". It matches the Rfam family "Eukaryotic large subunit ribosomal RNA", at positions 24 to 664 of the family's 3401-position model. The record is from RNAcentral. Lineage: Eukaryota; Fungi.
CCCGCUGAACUUAAGCAUAUCAAUAAGCGGAGGAAAAGAAACUAACAAGGAUUCCCCUAGUAACUGCGAGUGAAGCGGGAAAAGCUCAAAUUUAAAAUCUGGCGGUCUUUCGGCCGUCCGAGUUGUAAUCUGGAGAAGCGUUUAUCCGCGUUGGACCGUGUACAAGUCUUCUGGAAGGGAGCGUCAUAGAGGGUGAGAAUCCCGUCUUUGACACGGACUACCAAUGCUUUUGUGAUGCGCUCUCGAAGAGUCGAGUUGUUUGGGAAUGCAGCUCAAAAUGGGUGGUAAAUUCCAUCUAAAGCUAAAUAUUGGCGAGAGACCGAUAGCGAACAAGUACCGUGAGGGAAAGAUGAAAAGCACUUUGGAAAGAGAGUUAAACAGUACGUGAAAUUGUUGAAAGGGAAACGUUUGAAGUCAGUCGCGUCGGCCGAGACUCAGCCUUGCUUCCGCUCGGUGCACUUCUCGGUUGACGGGUCAGCAUCAGUUUUGGCCGGUGGAUAAAGGUUCAGAGAAUGUGGCAUCCUCGGAUGUGUUAUAGCUCUGGGUCGCAUACAUCGGCUGGGACUGAGGAACUCAGCACGCCGCAAGGCCAGGUUUCGACCAUGUUCGUGCUUAGGAUGCUGGCAUAAUGGCUUUAAUCGACCCGUCUUGAAACACGG